UGGUAGUGUAUUGGACAACCAUGGCAAUCACGGGUAACGGAGAAUUAGGGUUCGAUUCCGGAGAGGGAGCCUGAGAAACGGCUACCACAUCUAAGGAUGGCAGCAGGCGCGAAAAUCACCCAAUCCCGAUUCGGGGAGGUAGUGACCAGAAAUAACAACCCAGGGGUUUCCCCAGGGAUUGCAAUGAGAAAAAUUUAAAAACCUUAUCGAGUAUCAACUGGAGGGCAAGUUCUGGUGCCAGCAGCCGCGGUAAUUCCAGCUCCAGUAGCGUAUAUUAAAGUUGCUGCAGUUAAAAAGCUCGUAGUUGAAGUUCUGCUUGUAAGAACGGCUUCUUUACGGAAGUCGUAGCUUCAAGCAUCAGUUUGCAACCAUCUGCACGGCCUUUACUGGUCGGCUAUGCGAGCAAACGUUUUACCUUGAGAAAAUCAGAGUGCUCCAGGCAGGCUUCAGCCGGAAUGCAUUAGCAUGGAAUAAUGGAAUAGGACUGGGGACUAUUUAUUGGCUUGAGACUCCAGUAAUGAUUAAUAGAAACAGUCGGGGCAUUAGUACUUAAUAGUCAGAGGUGAAAUUCUUGGAUUUAUUAAAGACUAACUAAUGCGAAAGCAUUUGCCAAGCAUGUUUUCAUUAAUCAAGAACGAAAGUUAAGGGAUCAAAGACGAUCAGA
This 664-nucleotide ribosomal RNA is filed under the name uncultured ciliate. RNAcentral's name for it is "bacterial SSU rRNA". It matches the Rfam family "Eukaryotic small subunit ribosomal RNA", at positions 326 to 1012 of the family's 1831-position model. Lineage: Eukaryota; Ciliophora. The record is from RNAcentral.